Molecule: transfer RNA, 84 nt
Filed under: Nematostella vectensis (starlet sea anemone)
Lineage: Eukaryota; Metazoa; Cnidaria; Anthozoa; Actiniaria; Edwardsiidae
Rfam family: tRNA
About the family: Transfer RNA (tRNA) molecules are approximately 80 nucleotides in length.
Source: Rfam by way of RNAcentral
GACAGGAUGGCCGAGCGGUCUAAGGCGCUGCGUUCAGGUCGCAGUCUGGUUCUCCAGGCGCGGGUUCGAAUCCCACUCCUGACA